Molecule: long non-coding RNA, 572 nt
Organism: Megalopta genalis
Lineage: Eukaryota; Metazoa; Arthropoda; Insecta; Hymenoptera; Halictidae
Source: RefSeq, a predicted model, not a curated record
CGUGCAUGUUAAACGAAACGUUGAAUCGUCUAUUGGGAAACAUGUUCAAAGUAGUUCGUUCCGCUUCCGUGCUUACUACUGUCCUUUUAAUCUUAGGAUUUUUCUGGAUUGCAACGACAGAGGCAUUAGUGUGCAAUUGUGAAGCACCUGUAGGUCGACGAUGUCGGCGCCAAUGUCAAGGUUAAGGAGAAUUGAAGAUACAUUCAUAAUUACAAAUGAUACACAUUGAAGAUACAUAAAAUGGUAGCUCAUCGAUGACAAUUAGACUGUGUAUUUGGAUUUGUUUAACAUGUGGAAGAUGUGAUCUGAAUCACAUGUAAAAAUAAAGACUUCUCAUAAUGAUGAAUAUUGUUUUAUGGACCCAAAUUUGAAGCCUAACAUUAUCACUGUUACAUUCCAUCGUCGCCAUACUUUGUUUCCUAUGAUGGAAUGUAGACCAAAUUUGUUAGACCACGUACACACUACAGACAACUGAGAGCAAUUCCUCGAGGAGGAUUAGAGUUAAGAUUUUGAUUCGAGACUGAUUCAAAUUAUGCGCGGGGGUUUAUCAGCAGUAUGCGCGCGCGAUGGCU